This 424-nucleotide ribosomal RNA is filed under the name uncultured prokaryote. Its description in RNAcentral is "bacterial SSU rRNA". It matches the Rfam family "Bacterial small subunit ribosomal RNA", at positions 355 to 796 of the family's 1533-position model. The record is from RNAcentral.
UGGGGAAUAUUGGACAAUGGGGGCAACCCUGAUCCAGCAAUGCCGCGUGAGUGAAGAAGGCCCUAGGGUUGUAAAGCUCUUUCAGCGGGGACGAUGAUGACGGUACCCGCAGAAGAAGCCCCGGCUAACUCCGUGCCAGCAGCCGCGGUAAUACGGAGGGGGCUAGCGUUGUUCGGAAUUACUGGGCGUAAAGGGCGCGUAGGCGGCGACGUCAGUCAGGUGUGAAAGCCCUGGGCUUAACCCAGGAACUGCACUUGAUACUGCGACGCUAGAGUCCGGGAGAGGGUAGUGGAAUUCCCAGUGUAGAGGUGAAAUUCGUAGAUAUUGGGAAGAACACCAGUGGCGAAGGCGGCUACCUGGACCGGUACUGACGCUGAGGCGCGAAAGCGUGGGGAGCAAACAGGAUUAGAUACCCCCGUAGUCC